RNAcentral lists this transfer RNA (91 nucleotides) under Otolemur garnettii (small-eared galago). It matches the Rfam family "tRNA". From Rfam's summary of the family: Transfer RNA (tRNA) molecules are approximately 80 nucleotides in length. Their secondary structure includes four short double-helical elements and three loops (D, anti-codon, and T loops). Further hydrogen bonds mediate the characteristic L-shaped molecular structure. tRNAs have two regions of fundamental functional importance: the anti-codon, which is responsible for specific mRNA codon recognition, and the 3' end, to which the tRNAs corresponding amino acid is attached (by aminoacyl-tRNA synthetases). tRNAs cope with the degeneracy of the genetic code in two manners: having more than one tRNA (with a specific anti-codon) for a particular amino acid; and 'wobble' base-pairing, i.e. permitting non-standard base-pairing at the 3rd anti-codon position. Lineage: Eukaryota; Metazoa; Chordata; Mammalia; Primates; Galagidae. The record is from Rfam by way of RNAcentral.
GCUCCAGUGGCGCAAUCAGUUAGCACGUGGUACUUAUACAACAGUGCAAGCUCGAGCAAUGCUGACGUGAGUUCGAGCCUCACCUGGGGCA